GGCGAAAGACCAGCGGCAGGUGGACAGAGGGAGGAAGGACAGAGAGGAGGGGUCGCCCCCACAAGGGCCAGGCCGGGAGUCUGGAGGAGCCCCCUGCCGGGAAUGCAGCUGGGGAAAGAGGUUAUUAGGUGCAGUCCUGAGAACGGGGCAGGGAUGAGAGGCAGGGAAUUUGUUACUCGAAAACUGGGCUCGACUCGGUGGACGUUGCGCCAAGAGACACAGUCAAGCCAAACAGCGGGAGAAGGAAGCAUUUAUUACUUGCAGCAAGGUCACGAUGUCUCAUCUCCUUGAUCUGAAUGUCACGAGGGAGCCUUGGGAUUGCUCAGACGUGAAAGGAAGCCUGUCAUUCUGCUGGGUUGGUCGGUGGUUUCUCCUCUCUGCUGCCUUCCUGCAAAGCGGAUCGCUGUCAAGAUUGAAAAAUGUAAACAUGUCUGACAAAGCCCCCUUUCACAGAGAGCUAUGUGCUUGCUGUUGCAGCCAAUGCUGUGAUGAGUAUCCCUGCCCCAUGUGGCCGGGCAGGGAGACGUUCCCAUGGGACCAUCCACGACGUCAACCUCCACUGCAAUCCCUCCCCUCCUGGGGUCUCCUGCAGACUCUCCUUGGAGUUCCUGGGCUGAGCAUUUGCCAGAAGCUAGAGUCAGAUGGGGACUAGGUUCAAAUACCAGUUGCUCCAUCAACAUCUCUCCCUGCGUCAGUGUUCUCAUCCCUACAAAGGAGACGAUAAUCAUGGUACCACUUCCGGAGUUGUCUUGAGUAUUACAUGCAAUAACGUGUUAUAGCCCCUGGAUCAGGGGAAGGACUCAGGAUGGCUCGCUGCCCUCUCCUUCCCCCUCUGAUAUCCCAUCUACCCUAUGGAGUCCCAAGCUUUGCAUGUGGGCCCUGGUCUAGUCGUCUGCACCCCGCAGCUUCCCCGGAUGUGGAUGUGGUGGUGCACAAUAAAUAAAUGGCCCCUGCAUGUGCCGUGAGGCGCAGUCCUCCAGCUUUGGCCUGACCCCCACUCCGCUAGGCCUGGGGGAUGGGGAGGAGUAGAGGUGCCUUUCUCUGGAUGGUCCACAGC
Bos taurus (domestic cattle) is the source of this 1057-nucleotide long non-coding RNA. NCBI's taxonomy places the organism in Eukaryota, Metazoa, Chordata, Mammalia, Artiodactyla, Bovidae. The record is from Ensembl.